This 253-nucleotide ribosomal RNA is filed under the name uncultured bacterium. Its description in RNAcentral is "partial 16S ribosomal RNA". It matches the Rfam family "Bacterial small subunit ribosomal RNA", at positions 524 to 776 of the family's 1533-position model. The record is from RNAcentral.
AACGUAGGGGACAAGCGUUAUCCGGAUUUACUGGGCGUAAAGCGCCCGUAGGCGGCCUGACAAGUUGGACGUGAAAGCUCCUGGCUUAACUGGGAGAGGCCGUUCAAAACUGUCAAGCUAGAGUCUGGAAGAGGAGAGCGGAAUUCCCGGUGUAGUGGUGGAAAGCGUAGAUAUCGGGAGGAACACCAGUGGCGAAGGCGGUUACCUGGAGCUUUGCUGACGCUGAUGCGCGAAAGCGUGGGGAGCGAUCCGG